GACACUGAGGUACAGAAACUUUGAGUAAGGGUAGGAUGAUGCUGGAGCCCCAGGGAAGUGGACGCUCUCCUACCGGAAACGUGCACAGGGAGAUUGGAAGAAAGAGCUCUUCUCUGAGCAGAGGCAUCACCAUGAGGCAGCAGAUUUAUGGAUGAUGACUGCAACUCAGCCUAGGCACUGCCAGCGAGAAGACACCAGGGUCUCCUGACUGUGAUCUUCAACAAGCCCUGCCCCUCUCAGACCAUCUCUGAGCACACAGGGGCCAGCACAGGGGCCACCAUGUGAAGGAGUGUCCAGCCCAAAUCUGGGCUCCCAGACCCCCACAUCCCCUCUCGCCCACUCAGUCUCUCUAGCGGGGUAGGAGAGAAGAAGCCUGCUGGCUGAGAGAAGGGUCCUCAAGGUGCCAGCAGGUGUAGAGGUCCCCACAGCUCUCCGUGGAGUUUCCUGGUUAACUAAUUACUGGCUGACCCCUCUGCUUGAAGCCUGCAUGCCUUACCUCCCGGCUUUGGUUGUUAAGGCUGCUGUCCCAGCCCACAGGAAACACCCUGAAGUCUCUAGACAGAGAUGGAUGAUGAUGCAUUUGUCCUCAAGACCAGGGACUUCUGGCCAGGAGGGAGGCCAGCCCACAGGCUCUGCAGGUGUUGAGGCUUGGCAUGCUGCCCUGCAGUUUCAGGAUUUUCAAGUUGUAUAUAUGGAUUUGCCAUUGUAGCUCAGUGGGUUAAGAAC
Molecule: long non-coding RNA, 726 nt
Organism: Phacochoerus africanus (Common warthog)
Lineage: Eukaryota; Metazoa; Chordata; Mammalia; Artiodactyla; Suidae
Exons: 4
Source: RefSeq, a predicted model, not a curated record